Molecule: long non-coding RNA, 236 nt
Organism: Rhinichthys klamathensis goyatoka
Lineage: Eukaryota; Metazoa; Chordata; Actinopteri; Cypriniformes; Leuciscidae
Exons: 4
Source: RefSeq, a predicted model, not a curated record
CAGGAAUAUUACAUGAAAUCUUUGAUGUUGCUCGUCUUGCACAAGCAGGUCAAGGGUCAUGCAUUCCAUUCCCAGGAAUAUUAGGCUACAGUAAAUCUUUGAUGUGCCGUCGUCCUCAUGUUGCUCAUCUUGCACCAACAGGUCAAAGGUCAUGUAUCGAUUCAGCUCAUCCGACACGAGCAGGUCAAAGGUCACCCGUCAGAUUCCCAGAAAUAUCACACAGUAUCUGACGCUCG